GCCUAGUUAGCUUAGUUGGUAGUGCGUCGGCCUCGUAAGCGCUAGGCCGCGGGUUCGAUUCCCGCCCGGGGCG
This 73-nucleotide transfer RNA is filed under the name Diaphorina citri (Asian citrus psyllid). It matches the Rfam family "tRNA". From Rfam's summary of the family: Transfer RNA (tRNA) molecules are approximately 80 nucleotides in length. Lineage: Eukaryota; Metazoa; Arthropoda; Insecta; Hemiptera; Psyllidae. The record is from Rfam by way of RNAcentral.